AUACUAUAAUAUAAAAGUAAAAGUAAUAUUUGACAAAUCAAUUCACACAUAAAAUUAAGUGAAAAUUUAAUAAUAGCAGAUAUUUAGUGAUUGCAAUUCAAAAAUCAGGGCUGAAGUUUUAUUAUUCACCAAUCAGGUAUUCCAAACCCUAAUUAUUUCAUUCUAGUCUCUCUCUUCUCACUCUCUCAACGACUAUCCGCUCCCCCCUAUCCCAAAUAAUUGGUCUCACAAGCUAAUAUCUAAAGCUAUCGUCACAAAUCGUCAUUGAUGACGCCACCUGAAGCCGUUAUUGGGAGCGCCAUUGAUGAUGUCCCACCUUUUCUUCUUCUCUCUACUGCAACCAAGAGAACCACUAUGUGCACGAAAUCGAUAGCCACAGUGAUAGACCCAGCACCCGUCUUCUCUUUUUCCUAACCUCUCUUCUCUCUCAACAAUAGCGGUGCUGAUCCUGGAAGAGAAUCUCCGGUGCAACGAUGUUACCAUCGGAAGAGAACCGUCCGGAGUAGCGACAUCCAGUGCUGCGCUCAAUGGUGAUAACGAUGUCGCAAGCAAGCUAUGCCCUGCCGUUUGUCUUACACACCAAUAAUCGUUAGUGGUUGUGGUAGUGUGGUGUGGUGAGUUCAGAUUUGGUUGGUGGUGGUGAGUGUGUGGAGACGGUGGUGUGGUGGUGGCACUAUCGUUGUGCAGUGGUGUUUGACUUGUUUGUGGAGGUGCAAAUGUGGUGUGCGGUGGGUUGGUGAGUUCAGAUCUGGUUGGUGGUGGUAAUGUUGGUGGGCGUUGUGUUGUGUUGUUAUUGUUGGUGGUGGCGGUGGCAGUGGUGGUAACGACGGAGGAUGGGAUGAGUAUUUUGUGACCAACUUUUGGUCGAUUUGUGGCAAGUAUUUGUGAUGGAUUGGAG
RNAcentral lists this long non-coding RNA (898 nucleotides) under Olea europaea subsp. europaea. The record is from RNAcentral. Lineage: Eukaryota; Viridiplantae; Streptophyta; Magnoliopsida; Lamiales; Oleaceae.